RNAcentral lists this ribosomal RNA (250 nucleotides) under uncultured bacterium. RNAcentral's name for it is "partial 16S ribosomal RNA". It matches the Rfam family "Bacterial small subunit ribosomal RNA", at positions 524 to 773 of the family's 1533-position model. The record is from RNAcentral.
UACGAAGGGUGCAAGCGUUGCUCGGAAUUAUUGGGCGUAAAGGGUAGGUAGGUGGUUACGUAUGUCUGGGGUGAAAUCCCUGAGCUUAACUCAGGAAGUGCCUUGGAAACGGCGUAACUAGAGUACUAGAGAGGUUCGUGGAAUUCCCGGUGUAGCGGUGAAAUGCGUAGAGAUCGGGAGGAACAUCAGAGGCGAAGGCGGCGAACUGGAUAGUAACUGACACUGAACUACGAAAGCGUGGGUAGCAAAC